UACGUAGGUGGCGAGCGUUGUCCGGAUUUAUUGGGCGUAAAGCGCGCGCAGGUGGUGCGGUAAGUCUGCCGUGAAAUCUCCCGGCUCAACUGGGAGGGGGCGGUGGAGACUGCCGGACUAGAGGGACUCAGAGGCCGGUGGAAUUCCCGGUGUAGUGGUGAAAUGCGUAGAGAUCGGGAGGAACACCAGUGGCGAAGGCGGCUCGCUGGGCUCUACCUGACGCUGAGGCGCGAAAGCGUGGGGAGCGAACCGG
This 253-nucleotide ribosomal RNA is filed under the name uncultured bacterium. RNAcentral describes it as "partial 16S ribosomal RNA". It matches the Rfam family "Bacterial small subunit ribosomal RNA", at positions 524 to 776 of the family's 1533-position model. The record is from RNAcentral.